GAAGAAGCAGCCCCGCGGCCGCGCCCACAAGAGGAUCCAGUACAACCGCCGCUUCGUCACCGCCGUCGUCGGCUUCGGCAAGAAGCGCGGCCCCAACUCCUCCGAGAAGUAGGCGCGCCGCACCGCCGAGCCAAGAAAAAGGCUCUUCCUUUGCGCUAGUUUUCCUCUCGUUUGUUGUUACGCAAGAUUAUGAUGAUGGAAGAGACAUUACUGAAGUGUUAAAGUAUGCAUGUUUUGCUUAGUUGAAGAAUCUGAGAUAUUGUGGUAUGGGUUCAUGGCUUAAAUUUGCUUGUUGUUUGUCGUUGCCCAUGAUGUGCAACAUAUGCGUCUAGAUUGUUCCUGCUCUUGUGUCUCUUGUUUUAUAUUGUGCUGCUGCGUAUAUAACCUGCCAUUACUGGAUAUUGCAAUUGUGGUGUCCCUGUGAUAUAGGGUUGGGCGUUUAAUUGAUACACACCAAAUUUUGCGGUAGCAAUGGUCGUUUCCUGAUCAGUCAUGCCUAGUAGACUUUUUAAUUAAUUAGGAGCAGUGAACCCUUGUUUUGGAAACUUGAAACUGACUGGCUGUUUAGCAAUGUUCAGUAGGACCGAAUUGUAGUAGCUCAUUUACAGGGAAAGCUUGAUGCAUUCUUUCCAUUAUGUCUUCUUCUCUACUUGAUGGUGUGAUGAAAUGGUGAUUGCAAUAUUUGCUUGAUCUGAAGUUAGAAGGCAGGAACCUGACAAAGUUAAUGUCAGGGCGUAGUUUGCACGGUAUAGUAUGUUAAAAUGAGCUGUGCAUAAUUGCAUAUCACCCUUGAUCUGUUAACAUGUUUAGGUAGUGCGUUGUUUUGAAAAUGCAGCGUAUGUAGAGAUAACUUUAUUUAGACCACUGGAUACAAAAUAUGUUGCUGUUGCUGGACUCUGGUCCUUCAACUUAGUGUUGAAGCUACAGCGCUGCAUGCAUAUAUUUUCUUCUAAGAUAGUAGUAAGAUAGCUUAGGGCUGGCCUUUUGAUCAUUUUGUUUACUUAUUCGGAGCACCAUAUUGAAUGCUAGCCCUGGACCUUGUUUCCUUGGUGUGGCUGCACACCUUACAUGAUGUCUUUGAUUUAGAAACUUGAAACUGACUGUCAGUUUAGCAUGUUAAAUAGGAUUGAAUUUUUGCACUAUACACAUACUGGCCCACUAGCCACCAGAUUCUGAGUGCACUUGCAAACUUUUUCGUACUGGUCAAACUUAUUCAUGACUGUAUUGGUCAAAUGUUGCCUGCACUGUCUGUUUGAUCGAAGAAUAGAUGGCAGGAAUGUCUAUAAGUUUUGUCAGGUAAAAAGUUAACCUGGUAAUCAGUUGUUUAACAAGACUAGUGUAUGAAUCUCUCGACAGAAAAAAAAAAGAGAGUAGCAUGUUACUGCACCUCUCUGAAUCACUGAAAGCUGCAGUACUGAUGCCGUUUGAUAUCCCAGUUGCGAACUUGUUGACCAUCUGAUACAUGUUCUUGGGAACACUGGCUGGAUUGCUUCUCAUAAAUACAUAUUCUUGGGAACUUUUCAUUUGGUCAUAUUAUCUUCUCAUACGCAUUCUGUAUCUAGAGCUUAUUGCGAUCUUUGCUUCGGCGUCUUUGUGUUUGAUCCUUGUUCGCUUUGGAGCGGCAGAUCCUGCUGUUGCUAGAGGCGAGAAUGUGCGCCGAGCUUCAGUUCUUGCUCUGAACAAUGGCCGGUAUAAUCUGCUAUGGAAGACUUGAUUGGUUGUGAAGUGAAUGAUGUCGAAAUGGGAUGUUUACCUAGCGGGAACGUGAAACCAACCGUGUUAAUAGUCAUUUUGAUUCUCAAGAACGCUGCGCCCGUGAAUGGUGAGCUUGUCAGGAAAACUUGGCGGGCCGGGCAGGCUAAUCUGCAGGGAAUUGCUCUCGAGCUGGCCUUCACUUCAUGCACGGUGUGAGCGUUUGCUCUUAGGCUGGGCGGGCCAUGGCCACCUUUUGCCCCAACAUAGCUCCGCCUCUGUUUGUGCAUCCCCCUGUUUUCAGCUUCCGUCGAUGAUUGCGGCACCGGCAGGGGGCAGCUGCAGCUACGUUCUGCGCCUGUGUUUGUUUACCUGACGUGCACGCUUGCGAUCCGUCUUCCCGCGCUGCUGCUUCCGCCGUAGCGUAGCGUUAGAGCAUCUACUCAACCGAACCCGGUCUCAAACGUCCGGGCAGGAAAUUUGACUCAGAUGGGCCCCUCAAACCGCCGUCAAACGCUCGGGCUGACCGGCAUCCCCAUAUCCAGCCCAAAUAUGAGACGGAUCUGGGGAGGUUUGGGCGCGCCCGUCACAUCGACUUGGCCUGGCCCACACCUGCCCCACAAAUAUCGUCGUCCGGAAAACCCUAGACUGCAGUCAAUCCGAACUUCACUUCACUCCCUUCUCUAUCCACUCCAGUUUCGAUCCCCUACAAACGCAUCCGACAGCCGGCGACCGAAGCAGCGCUGUAUCCGGUGGGGACUCCGGCUCCGACGACGAUUGGUCUAGCCUCCUGCGCGAAGCGGACCCUGAUGAUGUUGAGGAGGCCGCCCUCCGCAUCGCAUUGAGGCGUUCGGUCGUCGACCAAGGCGGAUCCACUUUGUCAGUGCCCGGCGCCCGUCGACGUAGCGCCGACGACGUCGCCGGCCCUUCCCGCCCGGCGCGCAGCUCCGGCCACUCCGCUCCACUCCACCAGGUACGCCGCCCACCACCAGCACCCUCUGCUCCGGAGGUGGUGCCCGGCCACCGCUGGGUCCUCGUGCCCGCGGCGGGGCCGGCACGCACUCGGACGCCCGAGUCGGAAGCACGAGCAGCCCCGCGCGAGCGGCAGCGGGCGAGGGAGAGGGCAGCGACGUCUGAGUCGAUGUCCGCGCGCCGUCCGCGUACGAGCGCGCCCGUCGAUCUUGAGGCAGCGCUCCUCGCUUCUGUCCUCCGUCACUCGCUCAAGACAGCGAAGACGGAAGCGCGACGCCUCCGCCGCAAGAAUGCCAAGGCGCUCCGACUCGCCAUCGAGUUGUCGGAGCGCGAGGCAACAAAGGAGGCGGCGGCGAAGGCAAAGGCGGCCCGCCAUGCCAAGGAGCAGGACCGCCUGCCCCGCAGGUUGUCGGGCAUGAGGUGCAGCUCCGACUCGGAUACGAUGGACAGCUCCACCUCCAGCUCCGACGACGCACCUCCACAUGCCGACGCCUACACGGAGGAGGGGCAAAACCGCGCCGACAACCGAAAGGGGAAGGGGCCGGCUAGGAAGCGGUGAUUUCCUCCGCCCUUUCUCGUUCUGUUUAUAUUUUAUCUAUGUUUGUAGUAUGGAUUUGCACCGUCCGCCGUUGAACUCCGAUGAAUCAUGUUCCUUUUGUCUGGCUAAUCUGAUGAACCGCACUAUGAUCAUGUGUUUUACGUAGCGUUGCAUGAAUUGCAUGGUUUUGAGAUUUAGAAUAUAACGGACGCGAGUGUCGAAGACGAAAUAUGAGGCUUGUCUGAUCAGUGUCCGUGGAAAAUUAAGGGGCCGGAUUUGUCCAAUACGGUUGUAUUCCCUCCGUUCAGAAUUACUUGUCGUAGAAAUGGAUGUAUCUAGACGUAUUUUACUUCUAGAUACAUCCAUUUUUGAGACAAGUAAUUCCGAACGGAGAGAGUAGAUGCUCUUAGAUGCCUGGCCUGGGUGGGGACGGGAGCCACACGAUGGAGAUGGAGGAGUUGGUUGAUCCCAACCGGCCGACCGGGUGUUCGCUUCGUCGGCGGAAGAAAACGAGAGCUAGAGUAGCAGCGUGGGUUGUAGAGUAGGUUUGUAGUAGCUAGCUAGGCACUACAUAGUAGAUCGAGCUCGAUCGUCGUGCUAUGACCAAACGCCGGCCGCGUCGACGCACAACUUUGCUUGACUUGGACGAAGCGACCACGUGUGUGGGCACGGCACUGAAAAAAAAUUCUAUGGCCUAGGGCCUAUUUGGUUCGCGGUAUAUUCUCAAAGCAUAGGUUUAGCCUAAAUACAUAUUAGUGCGCGUGCGCUCGCAGCGCUCCUCGAGCGGCAGGCGUCACACCGUGCGAUGGCGUGGGAUCGUGCGGUCGUGCGUGGCCAUGUGUUUUUUUGUCGGUUUUCGGGCGCGCCGCAUCUCCCGCACACCUGGCCCGGUUGUGCCGAGGCGGCGUCGCGUACCCCUCCCGGUGGGCCCGCCAUGUCAUUGACUGCGUAGAGUAUGUUUGUUAGUGAGCGUAGACAAAGUAGUGGGCGGUGGGCAGUUUCGAAUUUCGUGCCACUUCCUCCAUCCCCCAUCCACCACCCUUCACCGCUCCAUUCCCUUCUCCCCUCCCAUCCCCUCCCGAUUUGCCGGUCGUUGCCGGGUUCGCCGCUGGAUCUCGCCGUCGACGCCGUUGAAAGGUGCGGAGGAGGCGGAGGCGCAGCAGGGGGAGGCACCCGUUGCUCGUCGCCGGCUGAGGUACGCUCGCUGCUCAACCGCUUGCUCCUUCUCCCCGCGUGCCGUACCGAUCUCGCUGCAUGCCGUACAGAUGGAGGCCGCGGCUGUAAUGCUCUUGCCGUGCCCCGUAGUGCUCCCGCCGCGCUCGUUGUAGGAGAGGCCACGCCCGUAGCGCUCUCGCCGCGCCCAUAGCGGGGGAAGUGGUGCUCGUACUGCUCCCGUCGCGCUCGUAGCCGCAGAGGCCGCGACCGCAGCGCUCUCGCCGCGUCUGUAGCGGGGUAGGCCGCGUCCUCUAGACUUGCUCGCCGUGUUGGUUGUGCUGUCGCCGCGCCCGUAGCUGCAUAGGCUGCGAUCGCUGCGCUCUCACCCCGUCUGUAGCCGGGGAGGCCGCGCCCGCUAGACUCGCUCCACAGUGCCUGUAGUGGGGGAGGCCUAGCCGACAGCAGAUCUAGCGUCCGUGUCCCUUUUGCACAAGUGAAUCGAAACCCUAGGUACUGUUGCAUUUUAGUUGGUAGAUAUUUCACCAUGGCAAUUGAAUCCGUUCGAUUUUUUAUUUUUUCAUGCCCAGUUGCACAACGAUUUGUUUGCAGUUGGCAACUGCACUAUAGUAGUUGCACAGUGAAUGUUUUCAUUACUCAGUUGCACAACGAGUAUCUUGUAGUUGGCAGUUGCACAAAUAGAAGUUGCAUAACGAGUUUUGUGCUUAAACUUGACAUUUGUCCAGAUGCCCAAUCGGCAGUUCCAGCUGCAUCAGUUGCACACAUCAGGUGCAUCAGUUGCACACAUCAGCUGCCAUAAACACAUUUUUAGCAGUUAUAGGUACAAUAGUUGCACAUAUUAGGGUAUCUAUGUUCUGCAGGUUUUAUACUUGGCACUGGACCAGUUCCCAGCUGGCAGAUCUAGAUUCAAUAGUGGCACACAGCUGGGAUAUGUGUUCUUGAAUUUUUCACUUGGCAUUACCAUAUCUGAGUUGGCAGAACCAGGGUCAAUGUUUGGCAAAAUCAGGAUCCAGUUGGCACAGGAUUUUUUGAAAUGUCUUAGUGGUGGGAUGCUGGUUUUUUAUGCAUUUGUUUAACAAGUUUUGUUAGUGCUUUUGGGCUACAAUUUUUGUGUGUGUGCAAUUAGAAUGAUUUUGUCGGGACCUGUUUUUUUAGCAGUGACAAUGGUCGAAGAGGGAGAUGCCGGUGGAAGUGGGGAAGAGGUUGUUUUCUAUAAGCUCAAAAGGGAGCAAAUAUGAUCGAAUAUAUGUGCUUGUUUUCUUUUCUCUUUUCUCUUUUUUCCUUUUCUGUUUCUGAUUUUUGGUUUUCGUUUCUUUUGAGCCAUGCGGAGGAUUGCAUCGAAGUAUAUACGGCGGAACAGGAAAAGGCCUGCUCAGCGGGGUGCUCGUACCGACCCCGAUGAUGGUAAUGAAGUAGGGGUAAGUUUUGAAUACGCAAUGAACAAUUUUGAGUUUAUGUAAAAGAAAUUCAAUAUUUUAUUUUUGUUUUCUCUGUUUUUUUCAUGAUUUUUAACAUGAGGCAUCAUUUGGUUAUUUUGUAGGUGGAGGAUGCUACUGCAUCCCGUGCUGCAAAGCGAGCCAGAACAAAAGGAAAAAGGCAAGUCAUCUGAUGGGGGUGGCCCAACCUCUGCAGAAGCUGAUGCGGUACCUUUUUUUUGUACAUUUUUCUUUUUUCAGUUGCACAAUAUCUUGGUACUAGUUGGCACCUGUGCUGUUCAGUGUUGCAUAUGAAAAGCAUACACUUGGCUGUUGUGUUUGACCAGCAUUUUUUUUGGCUUACAUUUUUUAUGGUGCAAAUUUGAAAGUGUUGUAUACUACCAUGUCAAAUCUGAAAAGUGAUGUUUAGUGUUUUUAGUCUUUCUUUUAUGAUAGAUUUUGGAAUCUCCUUACCUACCUUGUCAAAUUUGAAAGUUGGCACCAAUUGAGCACACAGCUGCACAAAAUCAUGAUACAUUUUUGGACAGUUUUUUAAUUUCAGUGUGUGUACAUGUCAGUUGCACAAUGAGGUAUAAUAGUUGCACAACAAUCAACAUGUGGUUGCACAACAACCAACUACGUGGUCAGUUGCAGAUGUAUGUACACUAGUUGCACAAUUUGUCUGUAUUCAUUUUCCCUUUUUUUGUCUCAGGUGGGUGAAGUUGGAGUUGAAGGGAACGAAGGAAACGUUCCUCAGCGGCGUUCACAAGCUGGAAGGAUUAGGGCAUCACCAGGGAGGUUUGUGAAGGUGAACAACGAUUUGGCACCUGUUCAGAGAUCUUUCUUAUAUGAGAAGAUGUUAGGAGGUUUGGUAAACCUAGCAGACACACUGCCUUCCGACUUGACGAAGUUCGUAGUCCAGUCAUACGACCCAGCCAGUUCAGCUUUGGUAUUCCCAGGCAGGGGAACUAUUCCAGUAGAUGCUGCUAGUGUGCACAGGAACUUUGGUUUACCAAACAGAGGGCCGCGGCUGAAAUACACCAAUGAGAUGUUCAACCACACCGGGCCACCCAAACACCCCACGGUUACCGAAUUCACCAAGACGAUGAAAGCUAUGAAGGGUACAACUGAUAACAAGUUCCUCACUGGGUGGCUUGCAGUUGCUUUCAGCACCUUUUUAGCUCCUACAACUAGUCUCUCUCUGAGCCCACGUUGCUACAGCGCUGUGCUAAAACCCGAUGUUCUGUUGAAGAGCAAUGUGAGCUUAUUUGUUGCUGACCACAUAAAUGAAGCAUUCCGCAACAUGGGUGAGGACAAGCAAACAGUCUGUUGCUGCCUGUAUCAUUUGAUGGUGAGCUCUAAUUAAUUGUAUUCUGUUAGAUAUACCUUUUGUAGAUGUUUUUUGUGCUUUUUAUCACCAAUGUUCUUAUAUGUUUUAUUUCCUUUUUUUUUGUUUGUCUCUUGGGGGUGGUGCAUGUACAGAUUCUCUACAUCGACGCACUCGAGGUUGAUGUGCGAAUAAGCCACUGCGAAGUUCGAGCCAAUGCCUAUGAUAAGAACCUAAUCAACAAGAUAAUGAAAAAGGACUUGAUUUCGCUUGGUGUCUUUGGGAAACUUCAAGUGAGUUGGAAAUUCUGCUCAAAGUCUGUAUUUGCACAUGAUUCUUUCACAUACCUGUAAGUAGUUGCACAAGUCUAUAUUGAUAGUUGGCACACAGACUAAAUAGAGUUGCACACAUGCUUGUUUCAUAUUUCCUCUUUACAGUAACCACUUCCAGUUGUACUUUCCAUAGUAAUUUCAGUCAGUUUUUUUUGCUUCUGAGAGCAUGUGGUAGUUGCACAAGUCGAUGUUGAUAGUUGGCACACAGACUUUAUGAACAGUUUGCACACAUGCUUGUUUCAUAUUUCCCUAUAAAGUCCCACUUCUCAUUUGUGACUUCACAUAGUAUUUUUUAGUUACUUUUUUUUGCUUCUAGGGCAUGUGGUAGUUGCACAAGUCUAUGUUGAUAGUUGGCACACAUGCUUGUGACAGUUGCACACAUGCUUGUUUCAUAUUUUCCUUUAAAGUCCAACUUCUCAUUUGUGACUUCACAUAGUUUUUUCACUUACUUUUUGUGCUUCUAGGGCAUGUGGUAGUUGCCCAUAUAUAAAGUCUUUUUCCUUUUUAGAUCCAGACAAUAUAGACUUGUUAUUGUAGAAGUUAUUGUUGUAAAAUGAUCCUUUCUUUCUGUGAACAGCUCAAGGAGCAGUAUAGAACCAAAGAGGAUUCAACACUCUUCAGAGGAUUACUGCAGGCAGAAGCUUUUGUGGCAUCAAAGGUUCCAAUGAGUUACAAUCCCCAUGUGAGUUAUCCUUUUUUGCUCACCCACACUUUUUUUAUUAGAACAAAAAUCAUGUUUUGUUGUUGGUUUUACUUUUUCCGUGCCCAAUGCAUGCAUGAGUUGCACAGAAUUAUUAUCUCACCAUUUUUCCUAAUUGAAAUCAAAUUUAUGUUUUAACUUACACAGAUUCCACAACUCCUAGCUACAAAAUAUGCUUCUUUUUUACUUCCUGCUAACUUACCCCUCUUCAGUUGCACACUUUCAGCAUCUCAGUUGCACACUACUUUCAUAUACUUGUACCAAACUUAGGUUUGUAGUUGCGCAGAAAUAUACUUUGAUAUACUUUUCAUUAUCUCAUUUUUUCUGUUUUAAAUAAAUUUUGUUUUUCUUCUAAUGUUAUGCAGAAGAAGUUCAAGUUAGCAGGUAUGGUUCAUGAUCUAUGUAAAGGAAUAUCAGACAAUCUUGGCAACUUCAUCGAAGGUUUUGCCAAUCUUGAUGAAGAGGAACCAGAUUUGUCUCCUCUCAAGGGCCCGCUAAGUGAUCAAACAAAGGGUCAAAGCUCACACACUAGGCGACGGAAGUGUCAAUCUACUGCCAAGCAAUCAGAAGAGGUGGAGGGAAGUGAAGAAGAAGAAUUUGUAGAGGAAAGUGAGUCAGAGGAAGAAGAUGUUCACCUGGGAGUUGGCAAUGAUUCUGAAGAAAGUGAUGAUUCUGAAGAAGAAGAGGAGGAUCAAGAGGGAAGGAAUGAUGAAGAACGUGAUGAUGACAGUGACAACGAUGAUGAUGAUGAUGACAGUGACGAUGACGCUGACAACAAUGAAGACAAUGAAGAAUCCGGUAAUGAUGAAGUGGAAGAGGAAGAGGAAAAAGAUGGAACAGGCAAGGGGGAAGGUGAGGAUGUCGAGAACGUUGACAGAGAUGAGCAAGGAAAGCAUGGGGGCAGUGAUGAUGACAGCGAGGAAACACACGACGAUGACAGGGGGGCCUUUGAUGGAGGUAGUGACAGUGGGAAGGAUGAUGAUGAUGAUGGUAUGGGUGGCAGUGACAGCAGUUCAAAGAGGGCAGACACUUCUGGAGAUGGAGGAAACAGCAGCAGCAGCAGCUCAAUUGAUGAUAGUGUAACUGUAGAGUUUUUCAUCCAAAAGGACAUGCGUCGGAAGGGUGAAGAUCCGGAAUCAGUUGGAACCAAAGCAGCUGUGCCAGAGGAAAGUUUCUCAUUGUUUGACUUGUGUAGAUCAGAGCCAGCAAUCCCCAACAGAAUUGAUAUCCCUUUGUUGGAAACUCAUGCAAUCUUUGACAUGAAAGAGAAUGAUAACACCUUUGAAAAAAUCAUAAACGAUGGAGUACAAAGCACUGAGGAAGAAAUGGAAGAGGCAGGAAAGGGUUUGGACUGGAUUGGCUCAAAAACCGUGCUUGACAAGAUAUUGAAGGAAGGUCCUGUAUUUGAAGAUGCUUCAUCAUCAGGUGGUAGCAAGAGUAUGGCAGCAUCCCCACCGCGCCCACCCACUGUCCCAAAGCGCAAGAAGCUCGUGACACUUAGCAAGAACCUGGUGUUGGGUCAACCAAAAGAUAAGAUUCCUGGUAUGGGAGAGAAAAAUCCGAAGAACGGAAGUAAAUCAAAGGGAAAGGAGGUGCCAACUCCAGAGCCCAAGAAGGCAAGCACUGUUAUACAGGUGCCAACCAUUGCGUAUGUAGAUGCCAAGCUCAUCUCUACAACAUGCAAACUCCUGGUAAAAAAAAGCAACAAAACAGUGUCUUUUGCCAAGGACACAAAGUUUGCAGAAAUGGGAAUAGAGUUGCCAAGCCAUGCUAUUAAGAGUGGAUCAAACAGUCAAGAGAAAGUUGUUAGUAUGUAGUGCAGGAAGUCGGCAACCCCAACAGCUGAUGUGGCAGCUCCAACUUCAAGUGAGCCAAUUGUUUGUCCAAAUAAGCCAACUACAGCAUCCAGUGCGCACAAUACACCAGCAAUCAAGGAAAGUGAAACCACCACUGUGCCAACAACAAGAGGAAGUGAGGUAUCUGGAGUUGUGUCUAUCCUACCCCCAUCAGUCACCACAGAACCCCAAGCUGUCAGUGUGCCAAUCCCAGAAACUGCGUUGCCAACUCAAGCAGUCACUGUGCCAACCACAACAGUCAGUGUGCCAACUCCAACCCCAACCCAUUCAGUCACCAUGGAACCCUCAGCUGUCAGUAAUGUUGUGCAGGCUCAGAAACAACAUUUGCCUACUUUUCGUGCUCUUGAUCAACAGGACACACUUACACAAGAGCAAGUUUAUGACCUUGUUUUGAGGUCUAUACUGCCAAGACCGCCGCCAAGCAUAAUUGCACGAACCAAGUCAGCAGGUGAUGCACCCAAGGAUGUCCAAGGAGAGAACAACAGUGUGCAUCCCAUUCGUAGAGCAUCAUCAACAAGAUCAUAUCACGACGAUGGGUUCUGUGACGCUCCACCAUUUGACUUGGGUUUGGAUCUUGAUGAUGACCCCCUAGUUGCCACAGUGGACGAGCCUAACAAAUCACAAGUGACACCACAAGAGGCAGGGUUAUCUAAGAGCAGCGAGCUAGAUGAUUGGGAUUCGGAAACUGUGAGAGAGGUUUGUGCUGCUGCAGAUAAGGUGGUAUCUGGGAAGGCACCAAUUCAUAUCAUCAUUUCGGAUUCUCCAGACGAGUUUCACACCCCAGAUGUGACAGGUGUUCUAGGGGGUGCAAGUGGAUCCGAUAGUACCACAUCUGGCCCACCAGUGCAAAAACGCACAAGGAGGAUAAUCAAGCCUGAUGCUGUCCAGAGGUCUCCCUACAUCGACUACAAUAAAACAAAGACGUUCACUUGCAAUGAACAAGUGAACAGGCUUUAUGCGGCAGUUCUCUAUUAUGUAAGGAAUCUACCUGGAGCAAACGUCAUAGAAACAAGGUAAAACUAAUGCAUUUUGUGGUAAAUAUGUAUCCCCUCUUCUAUCUUUAGUUUGGCCAGUCAGUCUGUUACGUUUGCAUCUUCAUGUUUAUUGAUUUUUUGCACAAAAAUGGUAAUACAGUUGAACAUCUUUUAUUAUUGUCAUAGACAUAUGUAAUAGUAGCACUACAAUAGUAAUUCAAUUUUUUUGUAGUUGCAGAAGUCAUCUUUUGUACUUGCAGUUCCAUUCAACAUCACUUGCACAACAGUAGUUAUACAGUUGGCACAUCAGGCCCUGCACACCUUAACAACAGUUACUCAUUUUUCAUUCACUUUUUCACGCGUUUAUGGCAACCAGUUAAUCCUGUUUUUUGUUCUUUUUCUUUGCCCUCGUAUUGUUUUCCGAACAGCCCUGAAAUCAUUAACUAUGAUGGGUACUUUGUGAGCCUAAAGGAGUUGGCUGACUCAAUGAAGCCUACCAAAUGGCUAUCUAAUGGUAUUGUCGAAGCUACUCUUAUCCAAAUCAGGGAAACCUUACCUAAGGACUCAAAGAAGGUCAUCAUGCCACUGAGGGUUGCUGUAAGUUGAAUGAGAACUGAUGUUCUUGUUUCACACAACAUCCCUUUGUCCCUUCCUUUUUUACAAUGUGUUUCCUAAGACUAAUUUCUUCAAAUGCAGACACGCUUGCAGUAAGAAAUAUACAACGCUGCUGAGAUACAUUCUAAAUUUGAGAAGAUUAAUCACCUAGACCGUCAAGAUAUGGUCAGUUUUUUCUGGCCACACAACUUUGUGUUUUUUUCAACUUUUCGUGUUGCAUAGCUCUUGGUUUUUCACUGGUCAGUUCUUGACAACUUUUUACCUUCUUUUUUCCUGUGCUGUCAAUAUGUGCAGGUGAUGCUUCCUGUGCUCGAGUUCGCUGAUCCCAAUGAUCAAGAAGGAGGCAGACACUACUGGGUGUUUAACAUCAACUUAAGAGAUCAGCGUUUCGAGGUGCUAGAUUCUUGGAGGAACCUCGACAACCCCGACUUAAUGCACUGUGCUUCAACUAUAGGGGGGCGGUGAGGUGUUUAUGGAAGCAGCACUACCCAAAGCAUAACAUCAGUCACUUUCAGGUUGUCGACAUUGAUGUUGUAACGCCCGGAUAAUAAGGCUACAGUAAAACUCUCCUAAUGAUGCCAUGUCAUCUCUGUUACUGUUGCUAAUCUCUCGUUAGUGCAGAACCAGUUCAAAAGUCAAAAUUCAAAAUAUGUCAAACAACAAAAAAUUUCAAACUUUAAAACUAAAAUGUUCGGAGUGUGCCAAUUAAUGUUUAGAUAUUUAAGGUGAAGGAAACACACUUUUACAGAAUGCAUAAAUAUUUUUAAUUGAAUUAAUACAGAAAAGGAAAAUAAAUAAAAGAAAAGGAACAAAACAGAAAACAAAAGAAACCACUCCCCCUCGGCUCUCCAUGGGCCUCGGCCCAUCCUACCCAACCAGCCCGGCAGCCCAGCCGGCGUCGCACUCCUCUCCUUAUCCCCACCCGGUUAGGAUAACCCUAACCCAACGCCCCACUUCCCCCCACUCGCUCUCCCCCUCCCCCGAUCCAGAUCUGGAUCGAGGGAACAAAACCCCCCAACGCCGUACCCUUUGCCUCGUCACCGUGCGCCGUCACCGCCGCCCGAGGACCUCGCCGAGCCUUCCCCACCGGACUGCCUCCCCGUCGAUCUCGUCCCCAUCAUCCUCCUCAACCCCACUGCCCCGAACCCUAUGCUCGUGGUGAGGACCCCGGUCCUCCUCUCUCCCUGUCUCCGCUCGGGCCUCAACCGCCCGCUCGUGUGGCUCCACCGCGCGCGCGACGCACUCACGCCCCUGCUCACCGCGGCCUCGCCCUGACCGGCAUGCCUCCGCACGCGCAAACGGCCGCGCCCCCUCACGCACACCCCGCGCCCACAUUCCCUUGUCCUCGGCCGCGGCCGCUCGCGUCGCCGCCGUCCUUUUCUGCCGCCCGCUGCUCCCGCGCUCCAGCCGUGCAACGCUCCCCAGCGUCCCCCUCUGUACGCCGCUAGCCAGCCCUGCCGGCGCCCUGCCGCACCCAUCGAGCCGCCUCUGCUGUUGCUGCUCCACCACCGCGACCCGCGCCCUGCUUCGCGUCGCGUCGCCCGUCGUCGUGCUUGCUCGUCUCUGCUCUCCCGCAGCUGCCGACGAUGCGCCCCGCUGCUGCUGUCCCGCUGCGCUUCGACGCCGACCUCCGCCACCGCCGCGUUGUGCCACCCCGUGCAGCCAACGCCCGCCCGCUGCUUCCCGGCCCCGCCGUGGCCUUGCCNNNNNNNNNNNNNNNNNNNNNNNNNNNNNNNNNNNNNNNNNNNNNNNNNNNNNNNNNNNNNNNNNNNNNNNNNNNNNNNNNNNNNNNNNNNNNNNNNNNNNNNNNNNNNNNNNNNNNNNNNNNNNNNNNNNNNNNNNNNNNNNNNNNNNNNNNNNNNNNNNNNNNNNNNNNNNNNNNNNNNNNNNNNNNNNNNNNNNNNNNNNNNNNNNNNNNNNNNNNNNNNNNNNNNNNNNNNNNNNNNNNNNNNNNNNNNNNNNNNNNNNNNNNNNNNNNNNNNNNNNNNNNNNNNNNNNNNNNNNNNNNNNNNNNNNNNNNNNNNNNNNNNNNNNNNNNNNNNNNNNNNNNNNNNNNNNNNNNNNNNNNNNNNNNNNNNNNNNNNNNNNNNNNNNNNNNNNNNNNNNNNNNNNNNNNNNNNNNNNNNNNNNNNNNNNNNNNNNNNNNNNNNNNNNNNNNNNNNNNNNNNNNNNNNNNNNNNNNNNNNNNNNNNNNNNNNNNNNNNNNNNNNNNNNNNNNNNNNNNNNNNNNNNNNNNNNNNNNNNNNNNNNNNNNNNNNNNNNNCCCUGCUGCGCCGGCCGCCGCGCCUGAGCCGCUCCUCCUUGCCGGCGCGCCCCUGCGUCCGGGCGACGCCGCGCUCGGGUUCGCCCCGUCGAGUGCCCGUGCCCGCGCCCAAUAACCCGCACCCGCUAUGGCCUAUGGGCCUAUGACAAACGGGGCCCAGCCCCAGAACUUUUUAUAAAAUAAAAGAAAAUAAAAUUAAAAAUGAAUUAAUAAAAUUAAUAAUUAAUUAAUUAGUGAAUUAAUUAAGUUAAUUAAUCAUGUUUAAUUAAUCUAAUUAACUAGUUAGUUGAAUUAAACGGUAAUUAGAUUAGCCAAAUCCUGAUUAACCUAAAUAGAGUAUGACAUGCGGGACCCACACGUCAGAUUGACCCAGUCAACACCCUAUUGACUGCUGACGUCAUGAUGACGUCAACAAACACUAUUCUGGAUAAUGUUAGAAUUAAAUAGAUAAAUAAAUUCAGAAAAUAAUUAAAACUUUAGAAAAACAUAGAAAAUAAACCGUAGCUCAGAUGAAAAUGUUUUCUACAUGAAAGUUGCUCGGAACGACGAGACGAAUCCCAAUACGUAGCCCGUUCGUCCGCCACACAUCCCUAACAUAUCGAACACGCAACUUUCCCCCUCCGGUUCAUCUGUCCGAAAACGCGAAACACCGGGAAUACUUUCCCGGAUGUUUUCCCCCUUCGCCGGUAUCACCUACUACCGCGUUUGGGCACCCCUAGCAACGCUCAUUGUCAUGUCAUGCAUCGUCAUGCAUAUGUUUGCAUUAUAUUUAUUGUUUCUUCCCCCUCUUCUCUCGCUAGACUCCGAGACCGACGCCGCUGCUACCCAGUACGACUACGGUGUUGACGACCCCUCCUUCUCGGCUGAGCUUCCAGGCAAGCCCCCCCUUAAUCACCAGAUAUCGCCUAUUCUUCUCUCUACUGCUUGCAUUAGAGUAGUGUAGCAUGUUACUGCUUUUCAUUAAUCCUAUCCUGAUGCAUAGCCUGUCCUUGGUACUACUGUUGUUACCUUUACCUGCAAACAUACAUGCUUAGUAUAGGAUGCUAGUAUUCCAUCAGUGGCCCUACCAUUCUUGUCCGUCUGCCAUGCUAUACUAUCGGGCCGUGAUCACUCGGGAGGCGAUCACGGGUAUAUACUAUGUACUUUAUACAUGAUACAUGUGGUGACUAAAGUCGGGUUGGCUCGUGGAGCACCCGCGAGUGAUUCACGGAUUGGGGGCUGAAAAGAACUUUGUCCUGACGGCCCUCUGUGUGGAUCUUUGUGGCGGAGCAACAGGGCAGGUUGAGACCACCUAGGAGAGAGGUGGGCCUGGCCCUGGUCGGCAUCCGCGGUUACUUCUAAAUAACACGCUUAACGAGAUAUUGGUAUUUGAUCUAAGUCUGGCCACUGGCCUAUACGCACUAACCAACUACGUGGGAACAGUUAUGGGCACUCGACGUCGUGGUAUUAGCCGAAGCCUUCGUGACGUCAGCGACUGAGCGGCGCGCGCCGGGUUGGACCGCGUAACGCAACUUCCUUUGAAAUGGAGGUUGCUAGGUCUGCUCUCCGGCCGCGUACGCAAGUUCAGGUGUGCAAUGGGCGAUGGGCCCAGACCCCUACGCGCAUAGGAUUUAGACCGGCGUGCUGACCUCUCUGUUGUGCCUAGGUGGGGCUGCGACGUGUUGAUCUUCCAAGGCCGGGCAUGACCGAGGAAAGUGUGUCCGACCAAAUGGGAUCGAGCGUGUUGGGUUAUGUGGUGCACCCCUGCAAGGAAGUUAAUCUAUUCGAAUAGCCGUGAUCUUCGGUAAUAGGACGACCCAGAGUUGUACCUUGACCUUAUGACAACUAGAACCGGAUACUUAAUAAAACACACCCUUCCAAGUGCCAGAUACCACCCGGUGAUUGCUCUCUCACAGGUCGACGAGGAGAGGAUCGUUGGGGUAGGAUUAUGCUAUGCGAUGAUACUUGGUGAACUUACCAUCUACUCUCUUCUAUAUGCUGCAAGAUGGAGGCUGCCAGAAGCGUAGUCUUCGACAGGACUAGCUAUCCCCCUCUUAUUCUGGCAUUCUGCAGUUCAGUCCACCAAUAUUGCCUCUUUACACAUAUACCCAUGCAUAUGUAGUGUAGAUCAUUGCUUGCGAGUACUUUGGAUGAGUACUCACGGUUGCUUUUCUCUCUCUUUUCCCCCUUUCCCUUCUACCUGGUUGUCGCAACCAGAUGCUGGAGCCCAGGAGCCAGACGCCACCGUCGACGAUGAUUCCUACUACACCGGAGGUGCCUACUACUACGUGCAGGCCGCUGACGACGACCAGGAGUAGUUUAGGAGGAUCCCAGGCAGGAGGCCUGCGCCUCUUUCGAUCUGUAUCCCAGUUUGUGCUAGCCUUCUUAAGGGAAACUUGUUUAACUUAUGUCUGUACUCAGAUAUUGUUGCUUCCGCUGACUCGUCUACGAUCGAGCACUUGUAUUCGAGCCCUCGAGGCCCCUGGCUUGUAUUAUGAUGCUUGUAUGACUUAUUUAUUUUUAGAGUUGUGUUGUGAUAUCUUUGAAGGAAAUAUGCCCUAGAGGCAAUAAUAAAGUUAUUAUUUAUUUCCUUAUUCUCAUGAUAAACGUUUAUUAUUCAUGCUAGAAUUGUAUUAACCAGAAACGUAAUACAUGUGUGAAUACAUAGACAAACAAAGUGUCACUAGUAUGCCUCUACUUGACUAGCUCGUUGAUCAAAGAUGGUUAUGUUUCCUAGCCAUUGACAUGAGUUGUCAUUUGAUUAACGGGAUGGCAUCAUUAGGAGAAUGAUGUGAUUGACUUGACCCAUUCCGUUAGCUUAGCACACGAUCGUUUAGUAUUCUGCUAUUGCUUUCUUCAUGACUUAUACAUGUUCCUAUGACUAUGAGAUUAUGGAACUCCCGUUUACCGGAGGAACACUUUGUGUGCUACCAAACGUCACAACGUAACUGGGUGAUUAUAAAGGUGCUCUACAAGUGUCUCCGAAGGUACUUGUUGGGUUGGUGUAUUUCGAGAUUAGGAUUUGUCACUCCGAUUGUCGGAGAGGUAUCUCUGGGCCCACUCGGUAAUGCACAUCACUAUAAGCCUUGCAAGCAUUGCAACUAAUGAGUUAGUUGCAGGAUGAUGUAUUACAGAACGAGUAAAGAGACUUGCCGGUAACGAGAUUGAACUAGGUAUUGAGAUACCGAUGAUCGAAUCUCGGGCAAGUAACAUACCGAUGACAAAGGGAACAACGUAUGUUGUUAUGCGGUCUGACCGAUAAAGAUCUUCGUAGAAUAUGUGGGAGCCAAUAUGAGCAUCCAGGUUCCGCUAUUGGUUAUUGACCGGAGACAUGUCUCGGUCAUGUCUACAUAGUUCUCGAACCCAUAGGGCCCGCACGCUUAAAGUUUGAUGACGGUUAUAUUAUGAGUUUAUGUGUUUUGAUGUACCGAAGUGAAGGAAAUAUGCCCUAGAGGCAAUAAUAAAGUUAUUAUUUAUUUCCUUAUAUCAUGAUAAAUGUUUAUUAUUCAUGCUAGAAUUGUAUUAACCGGAAACUUGAUACAUGUGUGAAUACAUAGACAAACAGAGUGUCACUAGUAUGCCUCUACUUGACUAGCUCGUUGAUCAAAGAUGGUUAUGUUUCCUAGCCGUAGACAUGAGUUGUCAUUUGAUUAACGGGAUCACAUCAUUAGGAGAAUGAUGUGAUUGACUUGACCCAUUCCGUUAGCUUAGCACUCGAUCGUUUAGUAUGUUGCUAGUGCUUUCUUCAUGACUUGUACAUGUUCCUAUGACUAUGAGAUUAUGCAACUCCCAUUUACCGGAGGAACACUUUGUGUGCUACCAAACGUCACAACGUAACUGGGUGAUUAUAAAGGUGCUCUACAGGUGUCUCCGAAGGUACUUGUUGGGUUGGCGUAUUUCGAGAUCAAGAUUUGUCACUCCGAUUGUCGGAGAGGUAUCUUUGGGCCCACUCGGUAAUGCACAUCACUAUAAGCCUUGCAAGCAUUGCAACUAAUGAGCUAGUUGCGGGAUGAUGUAUUACGGAACGAGUAAAGAGACUUGCCGGUAACGAGAUUGAACUAGGUAUUGAGAUACCGACGAUCGAAUCUCGGGCAAGUAACAUACCGAUGACAAAGGGAACAACGUAUGUUGUUAUGCGGUUUGACCGAUAAAGAUCUUCGUAGAAUAUGUGGGAGCCAAUAUGAGCAUCCAGGUUCCGCUAUUGGUUAUUGACCGGAGACGUGUCUCGGUCAUGUCUACAUAGUUCUCGAACCCGUAGGGUCCGCACGCUUAAAGUUAGAUGACGGUUAUAUUAUGAGUUUAUGUGUUUUGAUGUACCGAAGGAGUUCGGAGUCCCGGAUGAGAUCAGGGACAUGACGAGGAGUCUCGAAAUGGCCGAGACGUAAAGAUCGAUAUAUUGGACGACUAUAUUCGGACUUCGGAAAGGUUCCGAGUGAUUCGGGUAUUUAUCGGAGUACCGGAGAGUUACGGGAAUUCGCCGGGGAGAAGUAUUGGGCCUUAUUGGGCCAUACGGGAAUAGAGGCCAAAAGGAAGGUGGCGCGCACCCCCCCUCUGGUCCGAAUUGGACAAGGGGUGCAGCCCCCUUUUCCUUCUCCCUCUCCCCCUCUUUCCUUCUCUCCUACUCCAACAAGGAAAGGAGGAGUCCUACUCCUGGUGGGAGUAGGACUCCCCCCUUGGCGCGCCCUCCUCCUAGGCCGGCCGCCUCCCCCCUUGCUCCUUUAUAUACGGGGGCAGGGGGGCACCCCAAAGACACAACAAUUGAUCUCUUGAUCUCUUAGCCGUGUGCGGUGCCCCCCUUCACCAUAGUCCACCUCGAUAAUAUCGUAGCGGUGCUUAGGCGAAGCCCUGCGUCGGUAGAACAUCAUCAUCGUCACCACGCCGUCGUGUUGACGGAACUCUCCCUCAAAGCUCGGCUGGAUCGGAGUUCGAGGGACGUCAUCGAGCUGAACGUGUGCUGCUCGGAGGUGCCGUACGUUCGGUACUUGGAUCGGUCGGAUCGUGAAGACGUACGACUACAUCAACCGCGUUGUGCUAACGCUUCCGCUUUCGGUCUACUAGGGUACGUGGACAACACUCUCCCCUCUCGUUGCUAUGCAUCACCAUGAUCUUGCGUGUGCGUAGAAUUUUUUUGAAAUUACUAUGUUCCUCAACACGAAGAUAGUUCGGAGUCCCGGAUGUGAUCACAGACAUGACGAGGAGUCUCGAAAUGGCCGAGACAUAAAGAUUGAUAUAUUGGAAGCCUAUAUUUGGAUAUCGGAAGUGUUCCGGGUGAAAUCGAGAUUUAACUGGAGUAGCGGGGGUUACCGGAACCCCCCGGGGGGUUUAAUGGGCCUACAUGGGCCUUAGUGGAGAAGAGGAGGGGCAGCCAAGGCAGGCCGCGCGCCCCUCCCCCUCUAGUCCGAAUUGGACAAGGAGGGGGGGCGGCGCCCCCCUUUCCUUCCUCUCUCCCUCCUCCUUCCCCCUUCUCCUACUCCAACUAGGAAAGGAGGGAGUCCUACUCCCGGUGGGAGUAGGACUCCUCCUGGCGCGCCUCCUCCUGGCCGGCCGCCUCUCCCUCCCUUGCUCCUUUAUAUACGGGGGCAGGGGGCACCCCAUGGACACAAUAAUUGAUCUCUUGAUCUCUUAGCCGUGUGCGGUGCCCCCUCCACCAUAAUCCACCUCGAUAAUAUCAUAGCGGUGCUUAGGCGAAGCCCUGCGUUGGUAGAACAUCAUCAUCGUCACCACGCCGUCGUGCUGACGGAACUCUCCCUCAAAGCUCGGCUGGAUCGGAGUUCGAGGGACGUCAUCGAGCUGACGUGUGCUGAACUCGGAGGUGCCGUGAGUUCGGUACUUGAUCGGUCGGAUCGUGAAGACGUACGACUACAUAAACCGCGUUGUUCUAACACUUCCGCUUUUGGUCUACGAGGGUACGUGGACAACACUCUCCCCUCUUGUUGCUAUGCAUCACCAUGAUCUUGCAUGUGCGUCGGAAAAUUUUGAAAUUACUACGUUCCCAACAGUGGCAUCAGAGCCUGGUUUUAUGCGUAGAUGUUAUAUGCACGAGUAGAACACAAUUGAGUUGUGGGCGAUAUAAGUCAUACUGCUUACAGCAUGUCAUACUUUGGUUCGGCGGUAUUGUUGGAUGAAGCGGCCCGGACCGACAUUAUGCGUACGCUUAUGCGAGACAGGUGGCUGGCGGGUGUCAGUUUCUCCAACUUUAGUUGAACCGAGUGUGGGUACGCCCGGUCCUUGAGAAGGUUAAAAUAGCACUAACUUGACAAACUAUCGUUGUGAUUUUGAUGCGUAGGUAAGAACGGUUCUUGCUCAGCCCGUAGCAGCCACGUAAAACUUGCAACAACAAAGUAGAGGACGUCUAACUUGUUUUUGCAGGGCAUGUUGUGAUGUGAUAUGGUCAAGGCAUGAUGCUAUAUUUUAUAGUAUGAGAUGCUCAUGUUUUGUAACCGAGUUAUCAGCAACUGGCAGGAGCCAUAUGGUUGUCGCUUUAUUGUAUGCAAUGCAAUCGCCCUGUAAUGCUUUACUUUAUCACUAAGCGGUAGCGAUAGUCGUAGAAGCAUAAGUUGGCGAGACGACAACGAUGCUACGAUGGAGAUCAAGGUGUCGCGCCGGUGACGAUGGUGAUCAUGACGGUGCUUCAGAGAUGGAGAUCACAAGCACAAGAUGAUGAUGGCCAUAUCAUAUCACUUGUAUUGAUUGCAUGUGAUGUUUAUCUUUUAUGCAUCUUAUCUUGCUUUGAUUGACGGUAGCAUUAUAAGAUGAUCUCUCACUAAAUUAUCAAGGUAUAAGUGUUCUCCCUGAGUAUGCACCGUUGCGAAAGUUCUUCGUGCUGAGACACCACGUGAUGAUCGGAUGUGAUAGGCUCUACGUUCAAAUACAACGGGUGCAAAACAUUUGCACAAGCGGAAUACUCAGGUUAAACUUGACGAGCCUAGCAUAUGCAGAUAUGGCCUCGGAACACUGAGACCGAAAGGUCGAGCGUGAAUCAUAUAGUAGAUAUGAUCAACAUAGUGAUGUUCACCAUUGAAACUACUCCAUCUCACGUGAUGAUCAGACAUGGUUUAGUUGAUUUGGAUCACGUGAUCACUUAGAGGAUUAGAGGGAUGUCUAUCUAAGUGGGAGUUCUUAAGUAAUAUGAUUAAUUGAACUUAUCAUUAACUUAGUACCUGAUAGCAUUUUGCUUGUCUAUGUUGAUUGUAGAUAGAUGGCCCGUGCUGUUGUUCUGUUGAAUUUUAAUGCGUUCCUUGAGAAAGCAAAGUUGAAAGAUGAUGGUAGCAAUUACACGGACUAGGUCCGUAACUUGAGGAUUAUCCUCAUUGCUGCACAGAAGAAUUACGUCCUGGAAGCACCACUAGGUGCCAAACCUGCUGCAGGAGCAACACCAGAUGUUAUGAACGUCUGGCAGAGCAAGGCUGAUGACUACUCGAUAGUUCAGUGUGCCAUGCUUUACGGCUUAGAAUCGGGACUUCAACGACGUUUUGAACGUCAUGGAGCAUAUGAGAUGUUUCAGGAGUUGAAGUUAAUAUUUCAAGCAAAUGCCCGGAUUGGAGAUAUGAAGUCUCCAAUAAAUUCUACAGCUGUAAGAUGGAGGAGAAUAGUUCUGUCAGUGGGCAUAUACUCAGAAUGUCUGGGUAUAACAAUCACUUGAUUCAACUGGGAGUUCCGGAUGAUAGCGUCAUUGACUUCUUCAAUCACUACCACCAAGCAACAAGAGCUUCGUGAUGAACUAUAACAUGCAAGGGAUGGAUAAGACGAUUCCCGAGCUCUGCGCAAUGCUAAAGGCUGUGGAGGUAGAAAUCAAGAAGGAGCAUCAAGUGUUGAUGGUCAACAAGACCACCAGUUUCAAGAAAAAGGGCAAAGGAAAGAAGAAGGGGAACUUCAAGAAGAACAGCAAACAAGUUGCUGCUCAGGAGAAUAAACCCAAGUCUGGACCUAAGCCUGAGACUGAGUGCUUCUACUGCAAACAGACUGGUCACUGGAAGCGGAACUGCCCCAUGUAUUUGGCAGAUAAGAAGGAUGGCAAGGUGAACAAAGGUAUAUAUGAUAUACAUGUUAUUGAUGUGUACCUUAUUAAUGCUCGCGGUAGCACCUGGGUAUUUGGUACUGGUUCUGUUGCUAAUAUUUGCAACUCGAAACAGGGACUACGGAUUAAGCGAAGAUUGGCUAAGGACGAGGUGACGAUGCGCGUGGGAAAUGGUUCCAAAGUCAAUGUGAUCGCGGUCGGCACGCUACCUCUACAUCUACCUUCGGGAUUAAUUUUAGACCUGAAUAAUUGUUAUUUGGUGCCAGCGUUGAGCAUGAACAUUAUAUCUGGAUCUUGUUUGAUGCGAGACGGUUAUUCAUUUAAAUCAGAGAAUAAUGGUUGUUCUAUUUAUAUGAGUAAUAUCUUUUAUGGUCAUGCACCCUUGAAGAGUGGUCUAUUUUUGUUGAAUCUCGAUAGUAGUGAUACACAUAUUCAUAAUAUUGAAGCCAAAAGAUGCAGAGUUGAUAAUGAUAGUGCAACUUAUUUGUGGCACUGCCGUUUAGGUCAUAUUGGUGUAAAACGCAUGAAGAAACUCCAUACUGGUGGACUUUUGGAACCACUUGAUUAUGAAUCACUUGGUACUUGCGAACCGUGCCUCAUGGGCAAGAUGACUAAAAACGCCGUUCUCCAGAACUAUGGUGCGAGCAACAGAUUUGUUGGAAAUCAUACAUACAGAUGUAUGUGGACCGAUGAAUGUUGAGGCUCGCGGCGGGUAAGAAGAUAUGGGUAUAUCUACUUAAUGAAACAUAAGUCUGAAACAUUUGAAAAGUUCAAAGAAUUUCAGAGUGAAGUUGAAAAUCAUCAUAACAAGAAAAUAAAGUUUCUAUGAUCUGAUCGUGGAGGAGAAUAUUUGAGUUACGAGUUUGGUCUUCAUUUGAAACAAUGCGGAAUAGUUUCGCAACUCACGCCACCCGGAACACGAUAGCGUAAUGGUGUGUCCGAACGUCGUAAUCGUACUUUACUAGAUAUGGUGCGAUCUAUGAUGUCUCUUACUGAUUUACCACUAUCAUUUUGGGGUUAUGCUUUAGAGACGGCUGCAUUCACCUUAAAUAGGGCACCAUCGAAAUCCGUUGAGACGACGCCUUAUGAACUGUGGUUUGGAAGAAACCAAAGUUGUCGUUUCUUAAAGUUUGGGGCUGUGAUGCUUAUGUGAAAAAGCUUCAACCUGAUAAGCUCGAACCCAAAUCGGAGAAAUGUGUCUUCAUAGGAUACCCAAAGGAAACUGUUGGGUACACCUUCUAUCACAGAUCUGAAGGCAAGACUUUUGUUGCUAAAUUUGGAUCCUUUCUAGAGAAAGAGUUUCUCUCGAAAGAAGUGAGUGGGAGGAAAGUAGAACUUGAUGAGGUAACUGUACCUGCUCCCUUAUUGGAAAGUAGUUCAUCACAGAAACCGGUUCCUGUGACACCUACACCAAUUAGUGAGGAAGUUAAUGAUGAUGAUCAUGAAACUUCAGAUCAAGUUGUUACUGAACCUCGUAGGUCAACCAGAGUAAGAUCCGCACCAGAGUGGUACGGUAAUUCUGUUCUGGAGGUUAUGUUACUAGACCAUGACGAACCUACGAACUAUGAAGAAGUGAUGGUGAGCCCAGAUUCCGCGAAAUGGCUUGAGGCCAUGGAAUCUGAGAUGUGAUCCAUGUAUGAGAACAAAGUGUGGACUUUGGUUGACUUGCCCGAUGAUCGGCAAGCCAUAGAAAAUAAAUUGAUCUUCAAGAGGAAGACGGACGCUGAUAGUAGUGUUACUAUCUACAAAGCUAGACUUGUCGAAAAAGGUUUUGACAAAGUUCAAGGUAUUGACUAUGAUGAGAUUUUCUCACUCGUAGCGAUGCUUAAGUCUGUCCGAAUCAUGUUAGCAAUUGCCGCAUUUUAUGAAAUUUGGCAAAUGGAUGUCAAAACUGCAUUCCUUAAUGGAUUUCUUAAAGAAGAGUUGUAUAUGAUGCAACCAGAAGGUUUUGUCAAUCCAAAAGAUGCUAACAAAGUGUGUAAGCACUAGUGAUCCAUUUAUGGACUGGUGCAAGCAUCUCGGAGUUGGAAUAUACGUUUUGAUAGUGUGAUCAAAGCAUAUAGUUUUAUACAGACUUGCGGUGAAGCCUGUAUUUACAAGAAAGUGAGUGGGAGCACUACAGCCUUUUUGAUAAGUAUAUGUGAAUGACAUAUUGUUGAUCGGAAAUGAUGUAGAAUUUUCUAGAAAGCAUAAAGGAGUAUUUGAAAGGAGUUUUUUCAAAGAAAGACCUCGGUGAAGCUGCUUACAUAUUGAGCAUCAAGAUCUAUAGAGAUAGAUCAAGACGCUUGAUAAGUUUUUUCAAUGAGUACAUACCUUGACAAGAUUUUGAAGUAGUUCAAAAUGGAACAGUCAAAGAAAGAGUUCUUGCCUGUGUUACAAAGUGUGAAAUUGAGUAAGACUCAAAGCCCGACCACGGCAGAAGAUAGAAAGAGAAUGAAAGUCAUUCCCUAUGACUCAGCCAUAGGUUCUAUAAAGUAUGCCAUGCUGUGUACCAGAUCUAUUGUAUACCCUACACUGAGUUUAGCAAGGGAGUACAAUAGUGAUCUAGGAGUAGAUCACUGGACAACGGUCAAAAUUAUCCUUAGUGGAAUAAGGAUAUGUUUCUCGAUUAUGGAGGUGACAAAAGGUUCGUCGUAAAGGGUUACGUCGAUGCAAGUUUUGACACUGAUCCAGAUGACUCUACUUCUCAAUCUGGAUACAUAUUGAAAGUGGGAGCAAUUAGCUUGAGUAGCUCCGUGCAGAGCAUUGUUGACAUAGAAAUUUGCAAAAUACAUACGGAUCUGAAUGUGGCAGACCCGUUGACUAAACUUCUCUCACAAGCAAAACAUGAUCACACCUUAGUACUCUUUGGGUGUUAAUCACAUAGCGAUGUGAACUAGAUUAUUGACUAGUAAACCCUUUGGGUGUUGGUCACAUGACGAUGUGAUCUAUGGGUGUUAAUCACAUGGUGAUGUGAACUAUUGGUGUUAAAUCACAUGGCGAUGUGAACUAGAUUAUUGACUCUAGUGCAAGUGGGAGUCUGAAGGAAAUAUGCCCUAGAGGCAAUAAUAAAGUUAUUAUUUAUUUCCUUAUUCUCAUGAUAAAUGUUUAUUAUUCAUGCUAGAAUUGUAUUAAUCAGAAACAUAAUACAUGUGUGAAUACAUAGACAAACAAAGUGUCACUAGUAUGCCUCUACUUGACUAGCUCGUUGAUCAAAUAUGGUUAUGUUUCCUAGCCAUUGACAUGAGUUGUCAUUUGAUUAACGGGAUCACAUCAUUAGGAUAAUGAUGUGAUUGACUUGACCCAUUCCGUUAGCUUAGCACACGAUCGUUUAGUAUUCUGCUAUUGCUUUCUUCAUGACUUAUACAUGUUCCUAUGACUAUGAGAUUAUGCAACUCCCGUUUACCGGAGGAACACUUUGUGUGCUACCAAACGUCACAACGUAACUGGGUGAUUAUAAAGGUGCUCUACAGGUGUCUCCGAAGGUACUUGUUGGGUUGGCGUAUUUCGAGAUUAGGAUUUGUCACUCCGAUUGUCGGAGAGGUAUCUCUGGGCCCACUCGGUAAUGCACAUCACUAUAAGCCUUGCAAGCAUUGCAACUAAUGAGUUAGUUGCGGGAUGAUGUAUUACAGAACGAGUAAAGAGACUUGCCGGUAACGAGAUUGAACUAGGUAUUGAGAUACCUAUAGGGGAACGUAGCAAUAAUUCAAAAUUUUCCUACGUGUCACCAAGAUCAAUCUAGGAGUUGCUAGCAACGAGAGAGAGGGAGUGCAUCUUCAUACCCUUGAAUAUCGCUAAGCAGAAGCGUUACAAGAACGCGGUUGAUGGAGUCGUACUCGCGGCGAUUCAAAUCGCGAAAGAUCUGAUCUAGCGCCGAACGGACGGCGCCUCCGCGUUCAACACACGUACAGCCCGGGGGCGUCUCCUCCUUCUUGAUCCAGCAAGGGGAGAGGAGAAGUUGAGGGAGAACUCCAGCAGCACGACGGCGUGGUGGCAAUGGAGCUCAUGGUUCUCCGGCAGAGCUUCGCUAAGCACUACGGAGGAGGAGGAGGAGGUGUAUGAGGAGGGAGGGCUGCGCCAGGGAAGAGGUGCGGCUGCCCUCCCACCCCUCCACUAUAUAUAGGGGCAAGGGGAGAGGGGGAGGCGCCCUAGGGUUACCCCUAGGGGGCGGCGACCAAGCAGAUUGGAUCUCCCUAGGGAAAAUCCUAGGGAGACUUGCCCCCCAAGCCAAGCAGGUGGAGGCUUGCCCCCCAAGCCAGGUGGAGGCGCCCCACCUCCCCAAGUAACGUGGGAAAGGGUGUGGGGGGCGCACCACCCCUUAGUGGGCUGGUUUGCCCCUUCCCCUUUGGCCCAUGAGGCCCUCCAACACUUGCCGGGGCUCCCGAAACAACUUUCGGUCAUGCUGGCCAUAGCCUGGUACCCCCGGAACACUUCCGGACUCCAAUACCCUUCGUCCAAUAUAUCGAUCUUCACCGCCGGACCAUUCCGGAACUCCUCGUGAUGUCCGAGAUCUUAUCCGGGACUCCGAACAACCUUCGGUAACCACAUACUAUUUCCCAUAACAACUCUAGCGUCACCGAACCUUAAGUGUGUAGACCCUACGGGUUCAGGAACCAUGCAGACAUGACCGAGACACCUCUCCGGCCAAUAACCAAUAGCGGGAUCUGGAUACCCAUAUUGGCUCCCACAUGUUCCACGAUGAUCUCAUCGGAUGAACCACGAUGUCGGGGAUUCAAUCAAUCCCGUAUACAAUUCCCUUUGUCUAUCGGCAUGUUGCUUGCCCGAGAUUCGAUCGUCGGUAUCCCAAUACCUCGUUCAAUCUUGUUACCGGCAAGUCUCUUUACUCGUUCCGUAACGCAUGAUCCCGUGGCUAACUCCUUAGUCACAUUGAGCUCAUUAUGAUGAUGCAUUACCGAGUGGGCCCAGAGAUACCUCUCCGUCAUACGGAGUGACAAAUCCCAGUCUCGAUUCGUGCCAACCCAACAGACACUUUCGGAGAUACCUGUAGUGCACCUUUAUGUUGGGAAUCGUAGCAUAAUUUAAAAUUUUCCUACGCUCACCAAGAUGCAUCUAUGGAGUCUACUAGCCACGAGGGGAAAAGAGUGCAUCUACAUACCCUUGUAGAUCGCGAGCGGAAGCGUUCCAAUGAACGUGGAUGACGGAGUCGUACUCGCCGUGAUCCAAAUCACCGAUGACCGAGUGCCGAACGGACGGCACCUCCGCGUUCAACACACGUACGAUGCAGCGACAUCUCCUCCUUCUUGAUCCAGCAAGGGAGAAGGAGAGGUUGAUGGAGAUCCAGCAGCACGACGGCGUGGUGUUGGAUGUAGCGGGUCUCCGGCAGGGCUUCGCCAAGCUUCUGCGAGAGAGAGAGAGAGAGGUGUUGCAGGGGAGGAGGGAGGCGCCCAAGGCUGUAGUUUGCUGCCCUCCCUCCCCCCACUAUUUAUAGGACCCCUGGGGGGCGCCAGCCCUUGGGAGAUCAGAUCUCCAAGGGGGGCGGCGGCCAAGUGGGGGGGAAGGGGUGCCUUGCCCCCCAAGGCAAGGGGGAAGCUCCCCCCCCUAGGGUUCCCAACCCUAGGCGCAUGGGGGAAGGCCCAAGGGGGCGCCCCAGCCCACUAAGGGCUGGUUCCCUUCCACUUUCAGCCCACGGGGCCCUCCGGGAUAGGUGGCCCCACCCGGUGGACCCCCGGGACCCUUCCGGUGGUCCCGGUACAAUACCGGUAACCCCCGAAACUUUCCCGGUGGCCGAAACUUGACUUCCUAUAUAUAAUUCUUCACCUCCGGACCAUUCUAGAACAUCUCGUGACGUCCGGGAUCUCAUCCGGGACUCCGAACAACUUUCGGGUUUCCGCAUACAUAUAUCUCUACAACCCUAGCGUCACCGGACCUUAAGUGUGUAGACCCUACGGGUUCGGGAGACAUGCAGACAUGACCGAGACGCCUCUCCGGUCAAUAACCAACAGCGGGAUAUGGAUACCCAUGUUGGCUCCCACAUGUUCCACGAUGAUCUCAUCGGAUGAACCACGGUGUCGAGGAUUCAAUCAAUCCGUAUGCAAUUCCCUUUGUCAAUCGGUAUGUUACUUGCCCGAGAUUCGAUCGUCGGUAUCCCAAUACCUUGUUCAAUCUCGUUACCGGCAAGUCUCUUUACUCGUACCGCAAUGCAUGAUCCCGUGACUAACGCCUUAGUCACAUUGAGCUCAUUAUGAUGAUGCAUUACCGAGUGGGCCCAGAGAUACCUCUCCGUCACACGGAGUGACAAAUCCCAGUCUCGAUCCGUGCCAACCCAACAGACACUUUCGGAGAUACCCGUAGUGCACCUUUACAGUCACCCAGUUACAUUGUGACGUUUGGCACACCCAAAGCACUCCUACGGUAUCCGGGAGUUGCACGAUCUCAUGGUCUAAGGAAAAGAUACUUGACAUUGGAAAAGCUCUAGCAAACGAAACUACACGAUCUUUUAUGCUAUGCUUAGGAUUGGGUUUUGUCCAUCACAUCAUUCUCCUAAUGAUGUGAUCUCGUUAUCAAUGACAUCCAAUGUCCAUAGUCAGGAAACCAUGACUAUCUGUUGAUCAACGAGCUAGUCAACUAGAGGCUUACUAGGGACAGGUUGUGGUCUAUGUAUUCACACAUGUAUUACGAUUUCCGGACAAUACAAUUAUAGCAUGAAUAAUAGACAAUUACCAUGAACAAAGAAAUAUAAUAAUAACCAUUUAUUAUUGCCUCUAGGGCAUAUUUCCAACAGUCUCCCAAUUGCACUAGAGUCAAUAAUCUAGUUCACAUCACCAUGUGACUAACACUCACUGUUCACAUCACCAUGUGACCAACAUCUAAAGAGUUUACUAGAGUCAACAAUCUAGUUCACAUCACUAUGUGAUUAUCACUCAAUUUGUUCAGGUUUGGUCAUGUUAUGCUUGUGAGAGAGGUUAUUAGUCAACGGGUCUGAACCUUUCAGAACCGUGUGCUUUACGAAUAUCUAUGUCAUCUUUGUGGAUGCUACCACGCGCUAUUUGGAGCCAUUUCAAAUAAUUGCUCUACUAUACGAAUCCGGUUUACUACUCAGUGUCAUCCGGAUUAGUGUCAAAGUUCGCAUCGACGUAACCCUUUAUGACGAACUCCUUUCCACCUCCAUAAUCGAGAAAAUUCCUUAAUCCACUAGGUACUAAGGAUAAGUUCGACCGCUGUCAUGAGAUCCUUUCCCGGAUCACCAUUGUACCCUCUUGACCAACUCAUGGCAAGGCACACUACAUGUGCGGUACACAGCAUAGCAUACUAUAGAGCCUACGUCUAAAGCAUAGGGGACGACCUUCGUCCUUUCUCUAUCUUCUGCUGUGGUCAGGUCUUGAGUCUCACUCAAUACUCACACCUUGUAACACAGCCAAGAACUCCUUCUUUGCUGAUCUAUUUUGAACUCUUUCAAAAUCAUGUCAAGGUGUGCUGUCUUUUGAAAGUAUCAUCAGGCGUCUUGAUCUAUCUCUAUGGAUCUUGAUGCCCAAUAUGUAAGUAGCUUUAUCCAGGUCUUCCUUUGAAAAACUCCUUUCAAACAACCCUUUAUGCUUUCUAGAAAUUUUACAUCAUUUCGGAUCAACAAUAUGUCAUUCACAUAUACUCAUCAGAAAUGUUGUAGCGCUCCCACUCACUUUAUUUGUAAAUACAAGUUUCUAACAAACUUUGUAUAAACCCAAAAACUUUGAUCACCCCAUCAAAGCGUAUAUUCUGACUCCGAGAUGCUUGCUCUAAUCCAUGGAAGGAUCGCUGGAGCUAGCAUACCUUUUAGCAUCCUUAGGAUCGACAAAACCUUUCUGAUUGUAUCACAUACAACCUUUCCUUACGAAAACUGGUAAGGAAACUUGUUUUGACAUCCAUCUGCCAGAUUUCAUAAAUGUAGCUAAUGCUAACAUGAUUCCGACGGACCUAAGCAUCGCUACGGAUGAGAAAAACUCAUCGUAGUCAACUCCUUGAACUUGUGAAAAUACUCUUUGCCACAAGUCGAGCUUCAUAGACGGUAACAUUACCGUCCAUGUCCGUCUUCUUCUUAAAGAUCCAUUUAUCUCAAUGGCUUGCCGAUCAUCGGGCAAGUUCACCAAGGUCCAUGCUUUGUUCUGAUACAUGGAUUCUAUCUCGGAUUUCAUGGCCUCGAGCCAUUCGUCGGAAUAUGGGCCCACCAUCGCUUCUCCAUAGCUCGUAGGUUCAUUGUUGUCUAGCAACAUGACUUCCAAGAUAGGAUCACGCAUUACUCUGAAGUAGUGCGCAUCCUCGUCGUCCUACGAGGUUUGGUAGCGACUUGAUCCGAAGUUUCAUGAUCACUAUCAUAAGCUUCCCCUUCAAUUGGUGUAGGUGCCACAGGAACAACUUCCUGUGCCCUGCUACACACUAGUUGAAGCGACGGUUCAAUAACCUAAUCAAGUCUCCACCAUCCUCCCACUCAAUUCUUUCGAGAGAAACUUUUCCUCGAGAAAGGACUCGUUUCUAGAAGCAAUUACUUUUGCUUCCAGAUCUGAAAUAGGAGGUAUACUCAACUGUUUUUGGGUAUUCUAUGAAGAUGCAUUUAUCCGCUUUGGGUUUGAGCUUAUCAGCCUGAAACUUUUUCACAUAAGCAUCGCAGCCCCAAACUUUUAAGAAACGACAACUUAGGUUUCUAUAAGCGGUGUCGUCUCAACGGAAUUGCGUGGUGCCCCUUUUAAAGUGAAUGCGGUUGUCUCUAAUGCCUAACCCAUAAAUGAUAGUGGUAAUUUGAUAAGAAACAUCAUGGUAUGCACCAUAUCCAAUAGGGUGCAGUUAUGAUGUUCGGACACACCAUCACACUAUGGUGUUCCAGGCGGUAUUAAUUGUGAAACACUUUCCACAAUGUCUCAAUUGUGUGCCAAACUCGUAUCUCAGAACUCGUAUCUCAGAUACUCAUCUCUAUGAUCAUAUCACAGACAUAUUAUCCUCUUGUCACGACGAUCUUCAACUUCACUCUGAAAUUACUUGAACCUUUCAAUAAUUCAGACUAGUGUUUCAUCAAGUAAAUACACUCAGCAUCUACUCAAAUCAUCUGUGAAGUAAGAACAUAAUGAUAUCCACUGCAUGCCUCAGCACUCAUUGGACUGCGUACAUCAAAAUGUAUUACUUCCAAUAAGUUGCUCUCUUGUUCCAUCUCACUGAAAACGAGGACUUUCAGUCAUUUUGCCCAUGUGGUAUGAUUUGCAUGUCUCAAGUGAUUCAUAAUCAAGUGAGUCCAAAUGAUCCAUCUGUAUGGAGUUUCUUCAUGCAUAUAUACCAAUAGACAUGGUUCGCAUGUCUCAAUCUUUUCAAAAACGAUUGAGUCCAAAGAUCCACCUACAUGGAGCUUCUUCAUGCGUUCUACACCAAUAUGACUCAAGUGGCAGUGCCACAAGUAUGUGGUACUAUCAUUACUAUCUUAUAUCUUUUGGCAUGAACAUGUGUAUCACUACGAUCGAGAUUCAUUUUAGGUGCAAGACCAUUGAAGGUAUUAUUCAAAUAAACAGAGUAACCAUUAUUCUCCUUAAAUGAAUAACCGUUUUGCGGUAAACAUAAUCCAAUCAUGUUCAACGCAAACACCAAAUCUCGAUGGUAGAGGGAGCAUGCGAUGCUUGAUCACAUCAACCUUGGAAAAACACAUAUCGUCAUCUCACCUUUAGCUAGUCUCCAUUUAUUCCGCAGCUUUUAUUUCGAGUUACUAACACUUAGCAACCGAACCGGUAUCUAAUACCCUGGUGCUGCUAGGAGUACUAGUAAAGUACACAUUCAUAUAACGUAUAUCCAAUAUACUUCUGUCGACCUUGCCUGCCUUCUCAUCUACCAAUUAUCUAGGGUAGUACUACUUCAGUGACCGUUCCUCUCAAUACAGAAGCACUUAGUCUCGGGUUUGGGUUCAACCUUGGGAUUCUUCGCUAGAGCAGCAAACGACUUGCUGUUUCAUGAAGUAUCCCUUUUGCCCUUGCCCUUCUUAAACUAGUGGUUUUACUAACCAUCAACAAUUGAUGCUCCUUCUUGAUUUCUACUCUCGCGGUGUCAAACAUCGCGAAUAGCUCAAGGAUCAUCAUAACUAUCCUUGAUAUGUUAUAGUUCAUCACGAAGCUCUACUAGCUUGGUGGCAGUGACUAUGGAGAACUAUCACUAUCUCAUCUGGGAGAUUAACUCCCACUCGAUUCAAGCGAUUGUGGCACUCAGACAAUCUGAGCACAUGCUCAACGAUUGAGCUUUUCUCCCUUAGUUUGCAGGCUUAAGAAACUUGUCAGAGGUCUCAUACCUCUUGACGUGGGCACUAGUCUGAAAUCCCAAUUUCAGUCUUCGGAACAUCUCACAUGUUCUGCGACGUUUCAAAAAACGUCUUUGGUGCCACAAUUCUAAACCGCACUGAACUAUCACGUAGUCAUCAAAACGUGUAUGUCAGAUGUUUCGUAACAUCUACAGACGACGCUGAGGUUCAGCACACCGAGCGGUGCAUUAAGGACAUAAGCCUUCUGUGCAGCAAUGAGGACAAUCCUCAGUUUACGGACCCAGUCUGCAUAAUUGCUACUACCAACUUUCAACUAAAUUUUCUCUAGUAACAUAUCUUAACCAGUAGAACUAAAGCGCAAGCUAUGACAUAAUUUGCAAAUACCUUUUUGACUAUGUUCAUGAUAAUGUAGUUCAUCUGAUUAUGAACUCCCACUCAGAUAGACAUCCCUCUAGUCAUCUAAGUGAAACAUGAUCCGAGUUUAACUAGGCCGUGUCCGAUCAUCACGUGAGACGGACUAGUCAAGAUCGGUGAACAUCUCCAUGUUGAUCGUAUCUUCUAUACGACUCAUGCUCGACCUUUCGGUCCUCCAUGUUCCGAGGCCAUGUCUGUACAUGCUAGGCUCGUCAAGUCAACCUAAGUGUAUUGCGUGUGUUCCGAGGCCAUGUCUGUACAUGCUAGGCUCGUCAACACCCGUUGUAUUCGAACGUUAGAAUCUAUCACACCCGAUCAUCACGUGGUGCUUCGAAACAACGAACCUUCGCAACGGUGCACAGUUAGGGUGAACACUUUCUUGAAAUUAUUAUAAGGGAUCAUCUUACUUACUACCGUCGUUCUAAGCAAAUAAGAUGCAAAUACAUGAUAAACAUCACAUGCAAUCAAAUAGUGACAUGAUAUGGCCAAUAUCAUCAUGCUCCUUUGAUCUCCAUCUUCGGGGCACCAUGAUUAUCUUCGUCACCGGCAUGACACCAUGAUCUCCAUCAUCAUGAUCUCCAUCAUUGUGUCUUCAUGAAGUCGUCACGCCAAUGAUUACUUCUACUUCUAUGGCUAACGCGUUUAGCAACAAAGUAAAGUAAUUUACAUGGCGUUAUUCAAUGACACGCAGAUCAUGCAAAAUAAUAAAGACAACUCCUAUGGCUCCUGCCGGUUGUCAUACUCAUCAACAUGCAAGUCGUGAUUCCUAUUACAAGAAUAUGAUCAAUCUCAUACAUCACAUAUAUCAUUCAUCACAUCUUCUGGCCAUAUCACAUCACAUAGCACUUGCUGCAAAAACAAGUUAGACGUCCUCUAAUUGUUGUUGCAAGUUAUUUACGUGGUUUGUAGGUUUCUAGCAAGAACGUUUCUUACCUACGUAUGACCACAACGUGAUUUGCCAAUUUCUAUUUACCCUUCAUAAGGACCCUUUUCAUCGAAUCCGUUCCGACUAAAGUAGGAGAGACAGACACCCGCUAGCCACCUUAUGCAACUUGUGCAUGUCAGUCGGUGGAACCUGUCUCACGUAAGUGUACGUGUAAGGUCGGUCCGGGCCGCUUCAUCCUACAAUGCCACCGAAACAAGAAAAGACUAGUAGCGGCAAGAAUUAUUGGCAAACUAAACGCCAACAACUGCUUUGUGUUCUACUCGUGCAUAGUAACUACGCAUAGACCUGGCUCAUGAUGCCACUGUUGGGAAUCGUAGCAUAAUUUAAAAUUUUCCUACUCUCACCAAGAUGCAUCUAUGGAGUCUACUAGCAACGAGGGGAAAAGAGUGCAUCUACAUACCCUUGUAGAUCGCGAGCGGAAGCGUUCCAAUGAACGUGGAUGACGGAGUCGUACUCGCCGUGAUCCAAAUCACCGAUGACCGAGUGCCGAACGGACGGCACCUCCGCGUUCAACACACGUACGGUGCAGCGACGUCUCCUCCUUCUUGAUGCAGCAAGGGAGAAGGAGAGGUUGAUGGAGAUCCAGCAGCACGACGGCGUGGUGGUGGAUGUAGCGGGUCUCCGGCAGGGCUUCGCCAAGCUUCUGCGAGAGAGAGAGAGGUGUUGCAGGGGAGGAGGGAGGCGCCCAAGGCUGUAGUUUGCUGCCCUCCCUCCCCCCACUAUUUAUAGGACCCCUGGGGGGGCGCCAGCCCUUGGGAGAUCAGAUCUCCAAGGGGGGCGGCGGCCAAGUGGGGGGGGGAGGGGUGCCUUGCCCCCCAAGGCAAGGGGGAAGCUCCCCCCUAGGGUUCCCAACCCUAGGCGCAUGGGGGAAGGCGCAUGGGGGCGCCCCAGCCCACUAAGGGCUGGUUCCCUUCCACUUUCAGCCCACGGGGCCCUCCGGAAUAGGUGGCCCCACCCGGUGGACCCCCGGGACCCUUCCGGUGGUCCCGGUACAAUACCGGUAACCCCCGAAACUUUCCCGGUGGCCGAAACUUGACUUCCUAUAUAUAAUUCUUCACCUCCGGAACCUCUCGUGACGUCCGGGAUCUCAUCCGGGACUCCGAACAACUUUCGGGUUUCCGCAUACAUAUAUCUCUACAACCCUAGCGUCACCGGACCUUAAGUGUGUAGACCCUACGGGUUCGGGAGACAUGCAGACAUGACCGAGACGCCUCUCCGGUCAAUAACCAACAGCGGGAUCUGGAUACCCAUGUUGGCUCCCACAUGUUCCACGAUGAUCUCAUCGGAUGAACCACCGUGUCGAGGAUUCAAUCAAUCCGUAUGCAAUUCCCUUUGUCAAUCGGUAUGUUACUUGCCCGAGAUUCGAUCGUCGGUAUCCCAAUACCUUGUUCAAUCUCGUUACCGGCAAGUCUCUUUACUCGUACCGCAAUGCAUGAUCCCGUGACUAACGCCUUAGUCACAUUGAGCUCAUUAUGAUGAUGCAUUACCGAGUGGGCCCAGAGAUACCUCUCCGUCACACGGAGUGACAAAUCCCAGUCUCGAUCCGUGCCAACCCAACAGACACUUUCGGAGAUACCCGUAGUGCACCUUUAUAGUCACCCAGUUACGUUGUGACGUUUGGCACACCCAAAGCACUCCUACGGUAUCCGGGAGUUGCACGAUCUCAUGGUCUAAGGAAAAGAUACUUGACAUUGGAAAAGCUCUAGCAAACGAAACUACACGAUCUUUUAUGCUAUGCUUAGGAUUGGGUCUUGUCCAUCACAUCAUUCUCCUAAUGAUGUGAUCCCGUUAUCAAUGACAUCCAAUGUCCAUAGUCAGGAAACCAUGACUAUCUGUUGAUCAACGAGCUAGUCAACUAGAGGCUUACUAGGGAUAGGUUGUGGUCUAUGUAUUCACACAUGUAUUACGAUUUCCAAACAAUACAAUUAUAGCAUGAAUAAUAGACAAUUACCAUGAACAAAUAAAUAUAAUAAUAACCAUUUAUUAUUGCCUCUAGGGCAUAUUUCCAACACUUUAUAGCCACCCAGUUACGUUGUGACGUUUGGUACACCCAAAGCAUUCCUACGGUAUCCGGGAGUUGCACAAUCUCAUGGUCUAAGGAAACGAUACUUGACAUUAGAAAAAGCUCUUAGCAAAUGAACUACACGAUCUUGUGCUAUGCUUAGGAUUAGGUCUUGUCCAUCACAUCAUUCUCCUAAUGAUGUGAUCCCGUUAUCAAUGACAUCCAAUGUCCAUGGUCAGGAAACCAUAACCAUCUAUUGAUCAACUAGCUAGUCAACUAGAGGCUUACUAGGGACAUGUUGUGGUCUAUGUAUUCACACAUGUAUUACGGUUUCCAGUUAAUACAAUUAUAGCAUGAACAAUAGACAAUUAUCAUGAACAAGGAAAUAUAAUAAUAACCAUUUUAUUAUUGCCUCUAGGGCAUAUUUCCAACAGUCUCCCACUUGCACUGGAGUCAAUAAUCUAGUUCACAUCACUAUGUGAUUGUAAUGAAUCCAACACCUGUGGGGUUUGUUCAUAUCUCGCUUGUGAGAGAGGUUACUAGUCAACGGGUCUGAACCUUUCAGAUCCGUGUGUGCUUUACAAAUCUCUAUGUCAUCUUGUAGAUGCAGCUACCACGCGCUACUUGGAGCUAUUCCAAAUAACUGCUCUACUAUACGAAUCCGGUUUACUACUGAGAGUCAUCCGGAUAGUGUCAAAGUUUGCAUCGACGCAACCCUUUACGACGAACUCUUUCACCACCUCAUAAUCAAGAAAAUUCCUUAGUCCACUAGUUACUAAGGAUAAGUUCGACCGCUAUCAUGUGAUCCAUUGCUGGAUCACUCUUGUACCCCUUGACUGACUCAUGGCAAGGUACACUUCAGGUGCGGUACACAGCAUAGCAUACUGUAGAGCCUACGUCUAAAGCAUAGGGGACGACCUUCAUCCUUUCUCUCUCUUCUACCGUGGUCAGGUCUUGAGUCUUACUCAAUACUCACACCUUGUAACACAGCCAAGAACUCCUUCUUUGGUGAUCUAUUUUGAACUCCUUCAAAAUCCUAUCACGGUAUGCAUUCAUUUGAAAGUACUAUUAAGCGUUUUUGAUCUAUCCUUACAGAUCUUGAUGCUCAAUGUUCAAGUAGCUUAAUCCAGGUUUCGCAUUGAAAAACACUUUUCAAAUAACCCUGUAUGUUUUCCAGAAAUUCUACAUCAUUUCUGGUCAACAAUAUGUCAACAACAUAUACUCAUCAGAAAUUCUAUAGUGCUCCCACUCACUUCUUUGGAAAUACAAGUUUCUCAUAAACUUUGUAUAAACCCAAAAUCUUUGAUCAUCUCAUCAAAGCGCACAUUGCAACUCUGAGAUGCUUACUCCAAUCCUUAGAAGGAUUGCUGGAGCUUUGCAUACUUGUUAGCAUCUUUCAGGAUUGACAAAACCUUCUGGUUGUAUCACAUACAACCUUUCCUCAAGAAAAUCAUCGAGGAAACAAUGUUUUGACAUCCUAUUUGCAAGAUUUCAUAAAUAAUGCAGUAACUGCUAAUAUAAUUCCAACAGACUCUUAGCAUCGCUACGAGUGAGAAAGUCUCAUCGCAGUCAACUCCUUGAACUUGCCGGAAAACAUCUUAACGACAAGUCGAGCUUUCUUAAUGGUGACACUUACCAUCAUUGUCUGUCUUCCUUUUAAAAUCCAUCUGCACCCAACAGCCUUACGACCAUCAAAUAGUUCUUCCAAAGUUUAUACUUUGUUUUUAUAUAUGGAUCCUCUCUCGGAUUUUAUGGCCUCGAGCCAUUUGUCGGAAUCUGGGCCCACCAUCGCUUCUCCAUAGCUCGUAGGUUCAUUGUUGUCUAGCAACAUGACUUCCAAGACAGGAUUACGUACCACUCUGAAGUAGUACGCAUCCUUGUCGUCCUACGAGGUUUUGGUAUUGACUUGAUCCGAAGUUUCAUGAUCACUAUCAUAAGCUUCCACUUCAAUUGGUGUAGGUGCCACAGGAACAACUUCUUGUGCCCUGCUACACACUAGUUGAAGUGACGGUUCAAUAACCUCAUCAAGUCUCCACCAUCCUCCCACUCAAUUCUUUCGAGAGAAACUUUUCCUCGAGAAAGGACCCGUUUCUAGAAACAAUCACUUUUGCUUCCAGAUCUGAAAUAGGAGGUAUACCCAACUGUUUUGGGUAUUCUAUGAAGAUGCAUUUAUCCGCUUUGGGUUCGAGCUUAUUAGCCUAAUUUUUUUUUCACAUAAGCGUUGCAGUCCCAAAUUUUUAAGAAACGACAGCUUAGGUUUCUCUAAACCAUAGUUCAUACGGUGUCGUCUCAACGGAAUUGCGUGGUGCCCUAUUUAAAGUGAAUGCGGUUGUCUCUAAUGCCUAACCCAUAAACGAUAGUGUAAUUCGAUAAGAGACAUGUAGCGACCAGACCUCAAAUGGUCUGUGCUGCUGUGCACCAGUGUCAUCCCUGGAUCAGUAAUGCUGACACGCACAGUACAAAUGGAGGAUUUAUAACAGAGUAGCAAUCACACACUUAUUACAUCGAAUAUCUCCAAAGAGAAUAAGUAUGAUAAACAUGGCUUAAGGCCAUCUAAUAACGAUAACAGCGGAAGACUUGGAAGAUAAGUGAGUCCAUCAACUCCAGCGGCAUCACUGAGUAUAAGACCACGACCUAAGGCACCUUACUCGUCGUCUGAAAAGUCUGCAACAUGAAACGUUGCAGCCCGAAAACGGGUCAGCACAUAGAAUAUGCCGGCAAUGUAACACAUAGAGAAUAAUGAACAAUAACAAUGCUAUACUACAUGCAUAUAUGGCUGGUGGAAAGCUCUAUGGUUACAGUUUUGCGAAAAGCCAAUUUUAUCCUACUCCAAAGGAAUAAAUUUUAUUUAACUAUCAUGGUGGUUGUGAAACAUUGAGAUGGUUGACAGCAUCUCAAUCCCAAUUAAAAGUCAUCAAUAACCCAACAAAAUUAAUUAGAAGUAACAUAGUGAUGAGAUUCACAUGAUAAUCCAAGUACUAGAUACUCAAGAUUGUCCAUAACCGGGGACACGGCUAACCAUGAUUAGUUUAUACACUCUGCAGAGGUUUGUGCACUUUUCCCCACAAGACUCGAUCUCCUCCGUUGGAUUACUCGCACUACAUGGUGUUUGAGUAGCGGAUGACCGAGACACAGUCUUUCAGAAGUGUUUGCACCUUACGUAUGGGUAGACAGUUACACCUACUUUCCCCUACAUCUGCUAGUCUACCACUGUAAGAGUUCACACAACUUAGUCAACUAUGCUAGAGCCCAUAAUAGCUUGCGGCUGCACACGGAAGUUUCUAGCAUGAAUAAUCUCAUGAUCCCUUUGAACCUGGGUAGCGGUCCAAAAGAAAAACAGGCAAUCCUGGAAUACCCAGGUACCUCAAUCCACCCAGAUGUGAGUUUUAGUUGCCACCUUAAGUAAACCAUUAAUUAACAAUCUCACAUCUGUCAUGGAAAUCUCUCAAACCCAAUCCACGUCUACGAGCAUAGCAUGGCAAUAUCAUAGCAAACGUAGAAGUAACUCCCAAGCGUUUGAUAAGAAAACAGGUAAUAGGUACUACCACAACUACUUCCCAAUCCCCACAAUUUAAUUAGAUCCUAAUCAUGCAAUUGUUUGAGGAAAACAGAUCUAAUGCAAUAAAACUGGGUAUGGAAGGUAUAUGAUCAAAGUGUUACUUGCCUUGCUGAUGAUCCGCAAAACCUAGCGAUUCGAAGUAACAAGCGGCACACUCCGGGUACUCUAUCGCAAACAAACAAGCAUACAAUCAGUACUCAUCUAAAUCACAGGUAAAACUCGAAUGAAAGAUCCAACCAGAAAGUUCAACUUAAGAACUCCGGUUUGCAAAAAGAAUCAACUCGAAAGAAGCAACGGAAGUCAAACGACGAAAGAAAGAAGCUUCGUUUGCUAAUUUGGAUCUAGGUCAAAUUUUACUGUAGCAAAAACUUGUUUGAGUAGGUUAAACGGAAAGAGAAUUUCGAGACGAAACUCUAGGCGCUUGAAUCGCCUGAUUCCGAUAAACGAGCGAGAAGUUAAACAGAAACGAAGAUUCGAUCAGAAAUCGAAUCUGAGAAAAUAGCGGAAAAAUCCGACGAAAAAGAAAAACGGACGAACGGUUAAAAAACGGACGUUCGUUAACAGAGAAAAACCGACGAACGCGUUCAUUAAAACGAACGGUUCGGUGAACGCUCGCAAAAUAACAAAACCGAAAAAAAAA
This 39615-nucleotide long non-coding RNA is filed under the name Triticum aestivum (bread wheat). RNAcentral describes it as "long non-coding RNA (TAES_LNC017561)". The stretch from base 3491 to 3605 matches the Rfam family "MIR1120/MIR1122 microRNA precursor family". The record is from RNAcentral. Lineage: Eukaryota; Viridiplantae; Streptophyta; Magnoliopsida; Poales; Poaceae.